Molecule: long non-coding RNA, 577 nt
Organism: Stomoxys calcitrans (stable fly)
Lineage: Eukaryota; Metazoa; Arthropoda; Insecta; Diptera; Muscidae
Exons: 2
Source: RefSeq, a predicted model, not a curated record
AAUCAAAGUAGUACAAUGGCAUUGAACUUGAAUUAUCAAUCAAAACCAUAUAAUUCAAUAAUUUUUUUUACGUAAUUUUGUGUUUUGAAAACCUGCUAAAAUUGAAGUCAUCCUACUUAUCUGCAAAGAAACAUUUUCGAACCAAUUUUCGUUAUGAUCAAAAAUGUUUAGAAAGUUUCCUUUUUAAUUUCUUUCGCUAUCGGUGGGUGUGUACCAAGAUAUUUUGCUUUUUGUUGUAGACGUCAUCCCAGUUCAAUUCCUUAAACCAUCGAUGCCUCUUAACGUCAUCAGCCCCAUUCUAAAAAAGAUAAAAUGAAAAAACAAAGAUGAUAAUAAUCUAUAUAUGAACACACGGAAUGCGAAUACUAACAAUAUAAAUAAAUUUAGAACGCAAAUGAAAAGAAAACAUAAUUCUAUAUUCAAUGGCCGCAACAAUAAUUAAUUUUCAGCUUGACAUUCAGAAGUAUAUUGCAAUGGUCAAACCUAAUACAAGCAGAUUAAUUGGUCUGAGUUUUUUUUAAUUCUUAGUAAUUGUCAAUUGUUAACAUCAUAUAAAUGAGCAAUAUUCUACACUUCA